This 144-nucleotide ribosomal RNA is filed under the name uncultured eukaryote. RNAcentral's name for it is "partial 18S ribosomal RNA". It matches the Rfam family "Eukaryotic small subunit ribosomal RNA", at positions 1299 to 1458 of the family's 1831-position model. The record is from RNAcentral.
UGGUGGAGUGAUUUGUCUGGUUAAUUCCGAUAACGAACGAGACUCCGUCCUGCUAACUAGUCGCCUCGUUGCUUUUCGACUGCGAGGCGGGAUUCUUCUUAGAGGGACUGGCGGCAUCUAGCCGCACGAGAUGGAGCAAUAACA